GCGAUCCUUUGCUCGGCUGCUUGCGAUCGCUGGUCGCGAUCCUCUGCUCGGAUGCUUGUGAUCGCUGGUGGCGAUCCUCUGCCUGGCCGGUGUGAUUCCCAACAGCAAAUGUGAGCGGCCGGUUUUGGAUUCAGGUUUAUAGAACCUUGCUCGAAGCGACCAAAUCAACUCCUGGGGCGUGGAGAACAACAAGUUCUGUGUGUUCGUCCACUUUAGAUGUGUGGAUGAAAAGAGAUGGAGAGCUUUAGCAGACAGAGUAUAUAGAAGCAUCCAACGAUAAGAGUACCCAAAACAGUGAAGAUGUGUUCCAAGCAGACAGAGUAUAUUCAUGUUGUUUUAAAUAUGGAGGGAAAUGGGUUCAAACUAGUGAGCAACAUAGAAAGAGGUAUGACGGUGGCAUAAAUGUAGCAGAUGUUCACUUUGGGGGCAUCAUCGGAGCACAUGCAAAAACUCAUUACAGAAGAUCAACAAUGAUACAAUGACACAACACGAAAACUCAUUAUUAAAACGUAGAAAGUUGGAAAGUAGACGGACUGCUGAGACUUUCAACGAUGUAGUAGAGCUUGAGUACCUACAUGUUGAUGGGUUUUGAGCAUCAAAUGUAAUUACCAACACGCAAAGAUAUAAUUUUUGGCUGUUUUUGGAUAUAAUUUUUG
Molecule: long non-coding RNA, 656 nt
Organism: Dendrobium catenatum
Lineage: Eukaryota; Viridiplantae; Streptophyta; Magnoliopsida; Asparagales; Orchidaceae
Exons: 3
Source: RefSeq, a predicted model, not a curated record